This 245-nucleotide ribosomal RNA is filed under the name uncultured bacterium. RNAcentral describes it as "partial 16S ribosomal RNA". It matches the Rfam family "Bacterial small subunit ribosomal RNA", at positions 127 to 353 of the family's 1533-position model. The record is from RNAcentral.
UGCCCUUCAGAGGGGGACGAACAGUUGGAAACGACUGCUAAUACCGCAUACGAUCCAACCUCGGCAUCGAGGAUGGAUGAAAGGUGGCCUCUAUUUAUAGGCUAUCACUGAAGGAGGGGAUUGCGUCUGAUUAGCUAGUUGGAGGGGUAACGGCCCACCAAGGCAAUGAUCAGUAGCCGGUCUGAGAGGAUGAACGGCCACAUUGGGACUGAGACACGGCCCAGACUCCUACGGGAGGCAGCAUG